AGUGAACGCUGGCGGUAGGCCUAACACAUGCGAGUCGAACGGAAGCACAGUAAGAGCUUGCUCUUACGGGUGGGGAGUGGCGGACGGGUGCGGAAUACAUCGGAAUCUACUUUUUCGUGGGGGAUAACGUAGGGAACUUACGCUAAUACCGCAUACGACCGACGGGUGAAAGCAGGGGAUCAUCGGACCUUGCGCGAAUGAAUGAGCCGAUGUCGGAUUAGCUAGUUGGGGGGGUAAAGGCCCACAAAGGCGACGAGCCGUAGCUGGUCUGAGAGGAUGAGCGCCCACACUAGAAGUGGAACACCGUCCAGACUCCUACGGGAGGCACCAGUGGGCAAUAUUAGACAUUGGGCGCAAACCUGGCCCAGCCAUAGCGCGUGGGUUGAAAAGGCCUUCGGGUUGUAAAGCCGGUUUGUUGUGAAAGAACAGCAGCAGGUUAAUACCCCGCUGUUCUGACGGUACCCAAUGAAUAAGCACCGGCUAACUUCGUG
Molecule: ribosomal RNA, 491 nt
Filed under: uncultured bacterium
Lineage: Bacteria
Description: partial 16S ribosomal RNA
Rfam family: Bacterial small subunit ribosomal RNA
Source: RNAcentral